This 400-nucleotide ribosomal RNA is filed under the name uncultured bacterium. RNAcentral describes it as "partial 16S ribosomal RNA". It matches the Rfam family "Bacterial small subunit ribosomal RNA", at positions 359 to 774 of the family's 1533-position model. The record is from RNAcentral.
AGUAUUGCGCAAUGGGGGAAACCCUGACGCAGCGACGCCGCGUGAGUGAUGACGGCCUGCGGGUUGUAAAACUCUGUCCUUGGGGAGGAAACAAAUGACGGUACCCAAGGAAGGAGCCCCGGCUAACCACGUGCCCGCAGCCGCGGUAAUACGUAGGGGGCGAGCGUUGUCCGGAAUUAUUGGGCGUAAAGGGUGCGUAGGCGGGCUUUUAAGUCAGAUGUGAAAGACCACAGCUUAACUGUGGGGUUGCAUUUGAAACUAGAAGGCUUGAGUAUCGGUGAGGGUAGUGGAAUUCCUAGUGUAGCGGUGAAAUGCGUAGAUAUUAGGAGGAAUACCAGUGGCGAAGGCGACUUUCUGGACUUAUACUGACGCUGAGGCACGAAAGCGUGGGGAGCAAACA